Haliotis rubra (blacklip abalone) is the source of this 938-nucleotide long non-coding RNA. RefSeq lists it as uncharacterized. The record is from RefSeq and is a predicted model, not a curated record. The transcript has 3 exons. NCBI's taxonomy places the organism in Eukaryota, Metazoa, Mollusca, Gastropoda, Lepetellida, Haliotidae.
GUGGACCUAUUCCUCCUCUGGACUCACCUUCGCAUACAAGCUAAACACCAAUGAAGACAGCGUUGCACGCUGGUCUUCCAGAGAUCCUAAUCCAGAUAUCCUACAGAAGUCUGUAAACGUAUCCAUAGAAAACGCCAACAAAAGCUCUACAGAGACCUUUAGUCAAGUUGCGUGUAACAAGCUCCCGCCAAAGGUAACGUGGCAACGGAAGUCGCCGAAUGGUUACUUUCUCCACGGAAAAUGGCAUUCAUUACUGUGUACUGACACACUGCCUCGCACCAUGGAUGCUUACAGACAAUGCUUGAAAGGCAGGACGCUCUGGCUUCCAGGGGAUUCAACAAGCAACCAGUUCAAAACUCGUCUCCACGCCUUCUUGAAGUUCAAGUCACAUUCAUAUGGACACUUACCAACUACCGACACAGAUUCAGAAUAUAACUUUUCUAUUUCUUUCCACGCUCACGAAUUACCUUUCUAUCAUGGUAAAUCGAACUAUUCACGAUCAUCAAACCAAGCAGAGCACAUCGUGCUUGACCAUCUCCCGAACACUACCAAGGACAUCGUUGUGCUAUAUCUGUACGUUCAUUUCACGCUUGUCCACCCGGAUGUGUUCAGGCAACAUGUUCGAAGACUUGUUCCUUCUGUAAAGAACCUUUUGGCGAGAGCUCCUAAUGUUAAACUUGCAAUACGCGGGCCACAUGCAUUUUUCAGAUCGAGAAAGCGUUUGCUAUCUUACUGGGGACUUCUGUAUGCUGAUAUCUGGCAUGAAGAAUUCGCUUCAUUUCAAGACAACAUUGUGUAUCUGGAUUUUUGGGAUUUCUCCAUACCAAUCGGACAUCACGACUUUCACCUACCUGGGAAAAAGGUGGAUCAAAUGGUUCACCAUAUGAUGUCUUUGUUGUGUGACAGAAAGUAACACUAACUAAAGGUUUAGCGUAAAA